AAGGAUCAUUAUCGUGGGGCUUCGGCCCUAUCGUGAUAGAACCCUUGCCUUUUGAGUACCGUCCGUUUCCUCGGCAGGCCCGCCUGCCAAUGGGGACCCCAAUAAACCCUUUUAUGUACCUGUAUCAGUCUGAAAAACAAACAAAAGUUAAAACUUUCAACAACGGAUCUCUUGGUUCUG
Molecule: unclassified non-coding RNA, 180 nt
Filed under: uncultured fungus
Lineage: Eukaryota; Fungi
Description: partial contains 18S rRNA, ITS1, 5.8S rRNA, ITS2 and 28S rRNA
Source: RNAcentral